GACGAACGCUGGCGGCGUGCUUAACACAUGCAAGUCGAACGGUGAACGAGGGAGCUUGCUCCCUCCGGAUCAGUGGCGAACGGGUGAGUAACACGUGAGCAAUCUGCCCCGAACUCUGGGAUAAGCGUUGGAAACGACGUCUAAUACCGGAUACGACGCGGGAGGGCAUCCUCUCCGCGUGGAAAGAACUUCGGUUUGGGAUGAGCUCGCGGCCUAUCAGCUUGUUGGUGAGGUAACGGCUCACCAAGGCGACGACGGGUAGCCGGCCUGAGAGGGUGACCGGCCACACUGGGACUGAGACACGGCCCAGACUCCUACGGGAGGCAGCAGUGGGGAAUAUUGCACAAUGGGCGCAAGCCUGAUGCAGCAACGCCGCGUGAGGGACGACGGCCUUCGGGUUGUAAACCUCUUUUAGCAGGGAAGAAGCGAAAGUGACGGUACCUGCAGAAAAAGCACCGGCUAACUACGU
This 469-nucleotide ribosomal RNA is filed under the name uncultured bacterium. RNAcentral describes it as "partial 16S ribosomal RNA". It matches the Rfam family "Bacterial small subunit ribosomal RNA", at positions 28 to 506 of the family's 1533-position model. The record is from RNAcentral.